UGGGGAAUUUUGGACAAUGGGCGCAAGCCUGAUCCAGCCAUACCGCGUGAGUGAAGAAGGCCUUCGGGUUGUAAAGCUCUUUCAGACGGAAAGAAACGGUUACGGCUAAUACCCGUGACUAAUGACGGUACCGUAAGAAGAAGCACCGGCUAACUACGUGCCAGCAGCCGCGGUAAUACGUAGGGUGCGAGCGUUAAUCGGAAUUACUGGGCGUAAAGCGUGCGCAGGCGGUUUGGUAAGACAGAUGUGAAAUCCCCGGGCUUAACCUGGGAACUGCAUUUGUGACUGCCAGACUAGAGUGUAGCAGAGGGGGGUAGAAUUCCACGUGUAGCAGUGAAAUGCGUAGAUAUGUGGAGGAAUACCGAUGGCGAAGGCAGCCCCCUGGGCUAACACUGACGCUCAUGCACGAAAGCGUGGGGAGCAAACAGGAUUAGAUACCCAGGUAGUCCCUG
RNAcentral lists this ribosomal RNA (452 nucleotides) under uncultured bacterium. RNAcentral's name for it is "bacterial SSU rRNA". It matches the Rfam family "Bacterial small subunit ribosomal RNA", at positions 355 to 799 of the family's 1533-position model. The record is from RNAcentral.